RNAcentral lists this ribosomal RNA (309 nucleotides) under uncultured eukaryote. Its description in RNAcentral is "partial 18S ribosomal RNA". It matches the Rfam family "Eukaryotic small subunit ribosomal RNA", at positions 1470 to 1796 of the family's 1831-position model. The record is from RNAcentral.
CCCUUAGAUGUUCUGGGCGGCCCGCGCACUACAUUGGCACUAGCGAAGAGAUCCUAGAUUGAAUUCUUUGGGGUAUUCUUCUAAAUGGUGUCGUGACUGGGAUAAAUCCUUGUAAUUAUUGGUUUUGAACGAGGAAUUCCUUGUAAUCGCGGUUUAUCAGCUCGCGUUGAAUGCGUCCCUGCCCUUUGUACACACCGCCCGUCGCUCCUACCGAUGGAUCGUCCGGUGAAGCUCACGGAGUGACUGUUCACGCAACGGUUUACGAAGUGAAAUGGACCUCACGAUUUAGAGGAAGGAGAAGUCGUAACA